UUUUCAUUAUCCAGUGAUUUUUCCUUUAAUUACUCUUAAAUUUGAGUCAAAUAUCGAACAAAAAAUAUCAAAUAAACUACAAGCAACGACGAAUUACGACAACAAUCAUCACAAAACGCAAAAAUUCUCCAAAUCCAAGGAGAUGAUACUACGUGACAUAAUAAUUUAGUGUCCUCCUACUAAAAAAAAUUAACAAAAAUCAUCAAUUAUCCAGUGAAAAAGAGGAAAAGUGAUGGAAACUGACGUAAAAAAUGAAAAAAUCACAGAAACUGAAGAUCACAAAGAAAAAGAAGAAUCAGCUGCUCCACAGAGUUCAACGAACGAUAAAAAUGCAGAAAAUUCUGGAAACGCCAUGGAUGACGAAUACAGCGAGUCUCUCGGCUUGCUCGACGAUCAUCACAACAAUGAAACAUCCUCCGUGCGUCUUCCAAUCAUCGGAAUGACCUGCCAAUCAUGCGUUCGCAACAUUGAAGGUGCAAUUAGUCAACGUCCCGGAGUGCAAAAAAUCAAAGUAGUGUUAAGCGAAAAUGCGGGAUACAUCGAUUACGAUCCUGUCAUCACAAAUCCCGAUCAAAUUGCAGAAUGGAUCGACGAUAUGGGUUUCGAGUGCAGUUACACAAACGAAAACGGAGCUUCGGGGAUUCUCGAGACACGAAUUAACAUCUAUGGGAUGACUUGCAUGUCAUGUGUGCGAAAUAUCGAGGGAGCUAUUUCAGGAAAAUCGGGCAUUAUGUCGAUCGCUGUUCAUUUAAAUGAGAAAAUGGGCAUUGUGAAGUACGAUGCAAGUGUUACGAAUCCCCAACAAAUCGCAGAUUGGAUUGAUGACAUGGGAUUUGAAGCAAAUGUCGCUGAAACAGAAAGUAUUAGUGGUAAAAAGAGCAAAAAGACUGACGUGAAAAAGUUACUUGAGAUCGAAAACGAAGCAGGAGGCGACGCAAAAUCGAAUGGCGUGAUAAAUGUAACAUCCGGCGACUUAACGAGAUGUUUUUUGCACGUUCAAGGCAUGACAUGUGCAAGUUGCGUCGCCGCCAUUGAAAAACAUUGCAAGAAAAUCUUCGGAGUUGAGUCGAUUUUAAUCGCUCUUCUUGCGGCAAAAGCUGAAGUCAAAUACGAUCCAAACCUUAUCUCACCGCAAGACAUUUGCCAAUCUAUCAGUGAACUUGGUUUCCCUUCCGAACUCAUCCAAGAAGAGGGCACGGGCGAAAAUGACGUCGAAAUUGAAAUAAACGGGAUGACAUGUGCUUCAUGCGUUAACAAAAUCGAACAACAUCUCCUCAAAGUACAAGGAAUAACGUCAGCUGUCGUUGCUUUAACCACAAAACGGGGCAAAAUUCGUUUCAACAAUGAGCUAAUUGGAGCACGAACGAUCUGCGAACACAUCGAGUCCCUUGGAUUCGAAGCAAAAAUUUUAUCUAACAAAGAUAAACAAUCACGUUCGUAUUUGGAACACAAAGAGGACAUCCGAAAAUGGCGAAAUGCGUUUCUUGUGUCGUUAAUUUUCGGAGGACCUGCGAUGAUCGCAAUGGUUUACUUCAUGAUCGAGAUGGAACGUCACGGGCAUGAAAAUAUGAUCAUGGUAAUGCCGGGAUUGUCUCUUGAAAAUCUUGUAAUGUUCGUUUUAUCAACCCCUGUGCAAUUUUACGGCGGAUGGCAUUUUUACAAACAAGCAUAUAAUGCAGUUUUUCGACACGGCACAAGUAAUAUGGAUGUUUUGAUCACAAUGGCAACGAGUAUUUCGUACAUUUACUCCGUUGUGGUACUCGCAACUGCUAUUGCAAUGCAAAUGCGUAUCUCGCCGGUCACAUUUUUCGACACCCCGCCGAUGUUGAUAAUUUUCAUCUCAUUGGGACGAUGGUUAGAACACAUCGCCAAAGGAAAAACCUCCGAAGCACUCAGUAAAUUACUCUCCCUGAAGGCAACUGAAGCAGUUUUAGUCAAAGUUAGCGAUGAUUUCGAAGUUUUAUCGGAAAAAAUUAUUUCUGUGGAUUACGUGCAACGCGGCGAUAUCUUAAAAGUUGUUCCGGGCAGCAAAGUUCCCGUCGACGGGAAAGUUUUAUGCGGCAAUUCAAUGUGCGACGAAAGUCUUAUUACGGGAGAAUCGAUGCCGGUGCCUAAAAAGAAAGGAUCUGUCGUAAUAGGAGGCUCCAUUAACCAAAAUGGCUUACUUUUGAUGACAGCUUCGCAUACAGGAGAAAAUAUGACGCUCGCACAAAUCGUUCGUUUAGUUGAAGAAGCACAAACUUCCAAAGCCCCGAUUCAACAACUUGCCGAUCGGAUAGCUGCCUAUUUCAUUCCUUUUGUAAUCGCCUGUUCGACCUUAACACUCGUCGGAUGGAUCAUUACGGGAUAUGUUGACGUGAAUUUGCUUCCUGUGAAGCAUCACGAUACAGAAGGCAUGAACAAACAUGAAAUUAUUUUCAGUUACGCGUUUCGAUGUGCAUUAAGUGUUCUUGCUAUUGCAUGUCCUUGUGCUUUGGGCCUUGCCACGCCAACUGCUGUCAUGGUUUCAUCGGGAGUUGGAGCGCAAAACGGAGUUUUAAUGAAAGGCGCGGGUCCUUUAGAAAACGCACAUAAAGUCAAAACCAUCGUUUUUGAUAAAACAGGGACAAUUACUCACGGAAUGCCAAUGACGUCGAAAAUCACAUUUUUCGUUAAGCAAAAAAUUUGUUCCGUAUCGAGGGCUUUGACGAUUCUCGGAGCUGCAGAAAGUAACAGUGAACAUCCUUUGGCAUCAGCAGUAACGAAAUUCGUGAAAGAAGUCUCCGAACAAAACACUUUUGGAAAAGUUGAGAAUUUUCAAACUGUUCCGGGAUGCGGGAUAAAAUGUACUGUCUCAAAUAUUGAUGCGCCCCUGAAACAAACAGAAAAUGCAGAGAAAAUGAUUAAUUUUAAAAAUUCAUGGAAUGCAACGAAAUCUGUGGGAUUCUUGAAUUGCAUUGAAAUUCGUGAAUUACUUCCGCAACAAUCUCCGAGUCACAUUGAACUUGAGCAACUUUUGCAUUUUGGCGACGGAAUUGAAACUGAACCUGCCGAAGCCUUCGCUUUAGUCAACGAAUUCAACGUUCUCAUCGGAAAUCGUGAAUGGAUGAUGCGAAAUGCAAUAACUCUCCCGCCUGAAAUCAACGCAGCAAUGAUCGAAGAAGAAUCCAUGGGGAACACAGCCAUUCUCUGUGCGAUUAAUAACACGUUAAUUUGUAUGUUAGCUGUCUCAGAUAUGGUAAAACCGGAAGCUUUGUUGACUGUUUACACGCUGAAAAAGAUGGGAAUUGAUGUUAUUUUACUCACGGGAGAUAAUAAAAAUACAGCAGCGACAAUUGCUCGUCAAGUUGGAAUUACGAGAGUUUUUGCUGAAGUUUUGCCAUCACAUAAAGUUGCGAAAAUUCAAAAAAUUCAAGAAAAAGGAGAAAGAGUUGCGAUGGUUGGCGAUGGCGUGAACGAUUCUCCGGCUUUAGCACAAGCUGAUGUUGGGAUUUCGAUUGCUUCGGGUACAGAUGUUGCUGCGGAAGCUGCUGAUGUUGUAUUGAUGAGGAACGAUCUUCUUGAUGUAAUUGCCUGUUUGGAUCUUUCUCGCAAGACUGUUCGUCGAAUUCGUUUGAAUUUCCUCUUUGCCAGUAUGUACAAUUUACUUGGAAUCCCAUUAGCUGCAGGCGUUUUCAGUCCAUGGGGAUUCUUAUUGGAGCCUUGGAUGGGAUCUGCUGCAAUGGCAAUGUCAAGCGUUUCCGUGCUUUGCUCAUCUUUGCUUCUGAAAAUGUAUCGCAAACCAACAGCAGCUUCCUUACAGACUCCCGAGUACUUACAACUCUACGAAUCAGGCGCUUUCCUCGAUCCAGAUUCAAUUUCCGUGCAUCGUGGCUUAGAUGACAUACCGAGACCUAUUUUCGGUAGAUCAACAAGUUCAUCUCUUGCCAAUUUCUUCAAAGGGUCUCCAUCUAUUAACGCUUAAAAAAAUUAAUUAACAAACACACACACAAAAACACAAAUUUGCACGAACUGUAGAUAAUUUUGGGUGAAAAGCCGAAGAAAACUGUAUUUACUAAUGAUUUAGUAUUUUUUAGCUUUAAUUUUUUUAUUAUUAUUUUAAUGUUCAUGAAAGCAGCGAAGGAGUUCACGAGCGGAUCGACAGACGACAAACAACGCCGUUUGUUAGAUGCGGAGGAUGAUACUCAUGUCGAGAUCGUUAAGUCAA
Molecule: RNA transcript, 4186 nt
Organism: Culicoides brevitarsis
Lineage: Eukaryota; Metazoa; Arthropoda; Insecta; Diptera; Ceratopogonidae
Gene: ATP7
Gene name: copper-transporting ATPase 1
Exons: 7
Source: RefSeq, a predicted model, not a curated record